UACUCCUACGGGAGGCAGCAGUGGGGAAUUUUGGACAAUGGGGGAAACCCUGAUCCAGCCAUCCCGCGUGUGCGAUGAAGGCCUUCGGGUUGUAAAGCACUUUUGGCAGGAAAGAAACGUCGCGGGUUAAUACCCCGCGAAACUGACGGUACCUGCAGAAUAAGCACCGGCUAACUACGUGCCAGCAGCCGCGGUAAUACGUAGGGUGCAAGCGUUAAUCGGAAUUACUGGGCGUAAAGCGUGCGCAGGCGGUUCGGAAAGAAAGAUGUGAAAUCCCAGAGCUUAACUUUGGAACUGCAUUUUUAACUACCGGGCUAGAGUGUGUCAGAGGGAGGUGGAAUUCCGCGUGUAGCAGUGAAAUGCGUAGAUAUGCGGAGGAACACCGAUGGCGAAGGCAGCCUCCUGGGAUAACACUGACGCUCAUGCACGAAAGCGUGGGGAGCAAACAGGAUUAGAUACCCUGGUAGUCCACGCCCUAAACGAUGUCAACUAGCUGUUGGGGCCUUCGGGCCUUGGUAGCGCAGCUAACGCGUGAAGUUGACCGCCUGGGGAGUACGGUCGCAAGAUUAAAACUCAAAGGAAUUGACGG
This 589-nucleotide ribosomal RNA is filed under the name uncultured bacterium. Its description in RNAcentral is "bacterial SSU rRNA". It matches the Rfam family "Bacterial small subunit ribosomal RNA", at positions 334 to 916 of the family's 1533-position model. The record is from RNAcentral.